Molecule: ribosomal RNA, 406 nt
Filed under: uncultured bacterium
Lineage: Bacteria
Description: partial 16S ribosomal RNA
Rfam family: Bacterial small subunit ribosomal RNA
Source: RNAcentral
AUUGAACGCUGGCGGCAGGCCUAACACAUGCAAGUCGAACGAGUGGCGGACGGGUGAGUAAUGUCUGGGAAACCGCCUGAUGGGGGGGGAUAACCACUGGAAAAUGUCUCUUAUACCGUAUACUCUCAGCUGUGCCUAUAGGGGAUGAGCUAGUUGGUGGGGUAACGGCUCACCAAGGCGACGAUCCCUAGCUGGUCUGAGAGGAUGAACAGCCACAUUGGAACUGAGACACGGUCCAGACUCCGACGGGAGGCAGCAGUGGGGAAUAUUGCACAAUGGGCGCAAGCCUGAUGCAGCCAUGCCGCGUGUAUGAAGAAGGCCUUCGGGUUGUAAAGUACUUUCAGCGGGGAGGCGGGACCCGCAGAAGAAGCACCGGCUAACUCCGUGCCAGCAGCCGCGGUAAUUC